Molecule: ribosomal RNA, 489 nt
Filed under: uncultured bacterium
Lineage: Bacteria
Description: partial 16S ribosomal RNA
Rfam family: Bacterial small subunit ribosomal RNA
Source: RNAcentral
GAUGAACGCUAGCUACAGGCUUAACACAUGCAAGUCGCGGGGCAGCAUGGGGGUUGCUUGCAAUCCCCGAUGGCGACCGGCGCACGGGUGAGUAACGCGUAUCCAACCUGCCCUUCACCACGGGAUAACCCGGCGAAAGUCGGACUAAUACCGUAUGUUGUCCAUUGACGGCAUCCGAUUUGGACGAAAGGUGUGGCGGUGAAGGAUGGGGAUGCGUCCGAUUAGCUGGACGGCGGGGUGACGGCCCACCGUGGCGACGAUCGGUAGGGGUUCUGAGAGGAAGGUCCCCCACACUGGAACUGAGACACGGUCCAGACUCCUACGGGAGGCAGCAGUGAGGAAUAUUGGUCAAUGGGCGUAAGCCUGAACCAGCCAAGUAGCGUGCAGGAUGACGGCCCUAUGGGUUGUAAACUGCUUUUAUGCGGGGAUAAAGUGGCCCACGUGUGGGUUUUUGCAGGUACCGCAUGAAUAAGGACCGGCUAAUUCCGU